GGUAAGGUGGGGCGAGCGGCGGGGGUGAAAGGGUGGUGGGGGGCGUUGUUCGGAUUCAGUGGGCGUGCAGGGUGGGUAGGCGGGGUGGUAAGGCUGCGGGUAAAGCUUCGGGCGCAACACGGGAAGCGCAGAGGGUACUGCCAGGGGAGAGGGUGGGAGAGGGGGGCGGAAUUCCCGGGGUAGCGGUGAAAUGCGUAGAGAGCGGGAGGAAGGCCGGUGGCGAAGGCGGCGCUCUGGAACACACCUGACGCUGAGACACGAAAGCGUGGGGAGCAAACGGGAUUAGAUACCCUGGUAGUC
This 300-nucleotide ribosomal RNA is filed under the name uncultured Collinsella sp. RNAcentral's name for it is "bacterial SSU rRNA". The stretch from base 52 to 300 matches the Rfam family "Bacterial small subunit ribosomal RNA", at positions 547 to 795 of the family's 1533-position model. The record is from RNAcentral. Lineage: Bacteria; Bacillati; Actinomycetota; Coriobacteriia; Coriobacteriales; Coriobacteriaceae.